GACGAACGCUGGCGGCGUGCUUAACACAUGCAAGUCGAACGGAAAGGCCCUUCGGGGUGCUCGAGUGGCGAACGGGUGAGUAACACGUGGGUGAUCUGCCCUGCACUUCGGGAUAAGCCUGGGAAACUGGGUCUAAUACCGGAUAGGACCACGGCCUGCAUGGGUUGUGGUGGAAAGCUUUUGCGGUGUGGGAUGGGCCCGCGGCCUAUCAGCUUGUUGGUGGGGUGAUGGCCUACCAAGGCGUCGACGGGUAGCCGGCCUGAGAGGGUGUCCGGCCACACUGGGACUGAGGUACGGCCCAGACUCCUACGGGAGGCAGCAGUGGGGAAUAUUGCACAAUGGGCGCAAGCCUGAUGCAGCGACGCCGCGUGGGGGAUGACGGCCUUCGGGUUGUAAACCUCUUUCAGCACAGACGAAGCGCAAGUGACGGUAUGUGCAGAAGAAGCACCGGCCAACUACGUGCCAGCAGCCGCCGUAA
RNAcentral lists this ribosomal RNA (478 nucleotides) under uncultured bacterium. Its description in RNAcentral is "partial 16S ribosomal RNA". It matches the Rfam family "Bacterial small subunit ribosomal RNA", at positions 28 to 523 of the family's 1533-position model. The record is from RNAcentral.